RNAcentral lists this ribosomal RNA (1027 nucleotides) under Colletotrichum spaethianum. Its description in RNAcentral is "SSU rRNA". It matches the Rfam family "Eukaryotic small subunit ribosomal RNA", at positions 71 to 1106 of the family's 1831-position model. The record is from RNAcentral. Lineage: Eukaryota; Fungi; Ascomycota; Sordariomycetes; Glomerellales; Glomerellaceae.
GCAUUAUACAGCGAAACUGCGAAUGGCUCAUUAUAUAAGUUAUCGUUUCACUUUGAUAGUACCUUACUACUUGGAUAACCGUGGUAAUUCUAGAGCUAAUACAUGCUAAAAAUCCCGACUUCGGAAGGGAUGUAUUUAUUAGAUUAAAAACCAAUGCCCUUCGGGGCUCACUGGUGAUUCAUAAUAACUUCUCGAAUCGCAUGGCCUUGCGCCGGCGAUGGUUCAUUCAAAUUUCUUCCCUAUCAACUUUCGAUGCUAGAGUAGUGUUCUAGCAUGGUUACAACGGGUAACGGAGGGUUAGGGCUCGACCCCGGAGAAGGAGCCUGAGAAACGGCUACUACAUCCAAGGAAGGCAGCAGGCGCGCAAAUUACCCAAUCCCGACACGGGGAGGUAGUGACGAUAAAUACUGAUACAGGGCUCUUUUGGGUCUUGUAAUUGGAAUGAGUACAAUUUAAAUCCCUUAACGAGGAACAAUUGGAGGGCAAGUCUGGUGCCAGCAGCCGCGGUAAUUCCAGCUCCAAUAGCGUAUAUUAAAGUUGUUGUGGUUAAAAAGCUCGUAGUAGAACCUUGGGCCUGGCUGGCCGGUCCGCCUCACCGCGUGCACUGGUCCGGCCGGGCCUUUCCCUCUGUGGAACCGCAUGCCCUUCACUGGGUGUGCCGGGGAAACAGGACUUUUACUUUGAAAAAAUUAGAGUGCUCCAGGCAGGCCUAUGCUCGAAUACAUUAGCAUGGAAUAAUAGAAUAGGACGUGUGGUUCUAUUUUGUUGGUUUCUAGGACCGCCGUAAUGAUUAAUAGGGACAGUCGGGGGCAUCAGUAUUCAAUUGUCAGAGGUGAAAUUCUUGGAUUUAUUGAAGACUAACUACUGCGAAAGCAUUUGCCAAGGAUGUUUUCAUUUAUCAGGAACGAAAGUUAGGGGAUCGAAGACGAUCAGAUACCGUCGUAGUCUUAACCAUAAACUAUGCCGACUAGGGAUCGGACGAUGUUAUUUUUUGACUCGUUCGGCACCUUACGAGAAAUCAAAGUGC